CUUCACCGAGCCGAGCCAGAGCGGCCGGUCGCCGGCACGGUCCCGGCCGUAGGUGGCGAACAGCGCGUCGACCUC
This 75-nucleotide antisense RNA is filed under the name Micromonospora echinofusca. RNAcentral describes it as "ASpks TB sRNA". It matches the Rfam family "ASpks TB sRNA". Lineage: Bacteria; Bacillati; Actinomycetota; Actinomycetes; Micromonosporales; Micromonosporaceae. The record is from Rfam by way of RNAcentral.